GGAGCAGGAGGCCAUUGCAGUCGAGCUGGAUAAGCGUGUACUACACAGCGUCAUCCCUCUACAUCAUGUAAGUAUCCAGUCAGUGGGUCUCAAGCCCUUGGGGGAUCGUGUGCCCCCCUUGAAGCUCUGUCUGCUGGGCAUGUGACAUCCUUUUUGGCCAGCCCUGAGUGGUGGGAAGAGAAGCGCUUGUCAGUGGACCCCAGGAAAGGGAUUGCUCUGGCAGCAGCCCCACUCUCAGCCCUUUCUCCUUCAGGCACCGGGCAUCUUGAGGAGCAUCUACCAGUGGCUCGUGUCCAACACAGAACAGUCUGCCCAGCACCGCCUGGACAAGAGCCUUCUGGAACUGGCCGAGGAGCACCCCCACGACGUGGUGGUGACUCUGCUGCGCUGCUCCCCAGCGUGCGACAGAGCUGCCGUGACCAUGUGGAGGGUGAUGGUCGUCUCAUCCCGGACUAAAAAGAAGGUGAUGGCAGAGCUGUGCCGCGUGCUGAAGGACUGGCCCUUUCACAGGACGUCCACCUCUGACGGGGACAACACGGAUGUCUUCGCCCUGGCCGCAACCAGGGUGCUGUGGGAGCUCCUUCGGCCAGCCAACUACCCAAUGGAGGAGGAGAUGAGCUUCUCUCUACCCCUGAUGGUGUUGCUCUUCCAAAUCUUCGCAAGCGCGCAGCAGACACCAGAAGAGGUGGAGACCUUCUUCAGGGAAUGCCAGCAGGAGGAGGGCAUUGCCACCAGCCCUAGCAGGUGCUUCGUCCCCCUCCUCCCAU
RNAcentral lists this long non-coding RNA (767 nucleotides) under Anas platyrhynchos platyrhynchos (common mallard). RNAcentral describes it as "lncRNA (ENSAPLG00000020327.1)". Lineage: Eukaryota; Metazoa; Chordata; Aves; Anseriformes; Anatidae. The record is from RNAcentral.